This 515-nucleotide ribosomal RNA is filed under the name uncultured bacterium. RNAcentral's name for it is "partial 16S ribosomal RNA". It matches the Rfam family "Bacterial small subunit ribosomal RNA", at positions 28 to 523 of the family's 1533-position model. The record is from RNAcentral.
GAUGAACGCUGGCGGCGUGCCUAAUACAUGCAAGUCGAGCGGAUGGAUUAAGAGCUUGCUCUUAUGAAGUUAGCGGCGGACGGGUGAGUAACACGUGGGUAACCUGCCCAUAAGACUGGGAUAACUCCGGGAAACCGGGGCUAAUACCGGAUAACAUUUUGAACCGCAUGGUUCGAAAUUGAAAGGCGGCUUAGGCUGCCACUUAUGGAUGGAACCGCGUCGCAUUAGCUAGUUGGUGAGGUAACAGCUCACUAAGGCAACGAUGCGUAGCCGACCUGGGAGGGUGAUCGGCCACAUUGGGACUGAGACACGGCCCAGACUCCUACGGGAGGCAGCAGUAGGGAAUCUUCCGCAAUGGACGAAAGUCUGACGGAGCAACGCCGCGUGAGUGAUGAAGGCUUUCGGGUCGUAAAACUCUGUUGUUAGGGAAGAACAAGUGCUAGUUGAAUAAGCUGGCACCUUGACGGUACCUAACCAGAAAGCCACGGCUAACUACGUGCCAGCCGCCGCCGUAA